UGACAGACCUGGCAGCAGCAUCGCCCCAGUCUCCAUCACUGACAGACCUGGCAGCAGCAUCGCCCCAGUCUCCAUCACUGACAGACCUGGCAGCAGCAUCGCCCCAGUAUCCAUCACUGACAGACCUGGCCGCAGCAUCGCCUCUGUCUCCAUCACUGACAGACCUGGCAGCAGCAUCGCCCCAGUCUCCAUCACUGACAGACCUGGCAGCAGCAUCGCCCCAGUAUCCAUCACUGACAGACCUGGCCGCAGCAUCGCCUCUGUCUCCAUCACUGACAGACCUGGCAGCAGCAUCGCCUCUGUCUCCAUCAAUGACAUACCUGCCAGCAGCAUCGCCCCAGUUUCCAUCAAAAUGUCUUUGUACUUCAGGUUCAUCGUCUGAAGUUUUCGGUGGUGCAUUUUCUUGAGGAAAAUGAGGUGGAUGUGGCACCAUCAUUAUGGUUGGCGAAGAGCAAUGGGGUUCUGAAUUGCUAUUGGCCGGCAAAUAAUGCCAGCGUUCUGGCAAGACGCUGUGCUCUGCCCGACAAGGUACUUUGGAAAAAGUACAAAGUUCGCGUUUUCUCUACAACAGACAGCUACAGCCUGGCCAGGGAGAGGGCAAGAAAGGGGCAAG
This is a long non-coding RNA of Gadus morhua (Atlantic cod), 613 nucleotides long. RefSeq lists it as uncharacterized. The record is from RefSeq and is a predicted model, not a curated record. The transcript has 3 exons. NCBI's taxonomy places the organism in Eukaryota, Metazoa, Chordata, Actinopteri, Gadiformes, Gadidae.